AUUGAACGCUGGCGGCAUGCUUUACACAUGCAAGUCGAACGGUAACAGGGACUUCGGUCUGCUGACGAGUGGCGAACGGGUGAGUAACAUAUCGGAACGUGCCCAGUAAUGGGGGAUAGCUCGGCGAAAGCCGGAUUAAUACCGCAUACGCCCUGAGGGGGAAAGUGGGGGAUCUUCGGACCUCACGUUAUUGGAGCGGCCGAUAUCAGAUUAGCUAGUUGGUGGGGUAAAGGCCUACCAAGGCGACGAUCUGUAGCUGGUCUGAGAGGAUGAUCAGCCACACUGGGACUGAGACACGGCCCAGACUCCUACGGGAGGCAGCAGUGGGGAAUUUUGGACAAUGGGCGAAAGCCUGAUCCAGCCAUGCCGCGUGAGUGAAGAAGGCCUCGGUUGUAAGACUCGUUCAGUGGAAGGAAAGACGG
RNAcentral lists this ribosomal RNA (422 nucleotides) under uncultured bacterium. RNAcentral's name for it is "bacterial SSU rRNA". It matches the Rfam family "Bacterial small subunit ribosomal RNA", at positions 30 to 455 of the family's 1533-position model. The record is from RNAcentral.